RNAcentral lists this ribosomal RNA (497 nucleotides) under uncultured bacterium. RNAcentral's name for it is "partial 16S ribosomal RNA". It matches the Rfam family "Bacterial small subunit ribosomal RNA", at positions 28 to 507 of the family's 1533-position model. The record is from RNAcentral.
GACGAACGCUGGCGGCGUGCCUAAUACAUGCAAGUUGAGCGCUCAAGGUUGGUGCUUGUACCGACUGCGUUAGCAGCGGACGGGUGAGUAACGCGUGGGUAAUCUACCUUUAAGCCUGGGACAACUUCUGGAAACCAAAGCUAAUACCGCAUAAAAUCUUUAAACACAAGUUUUAAUAUUGAAAGAUGGUAUUGCUUCACUCAAAGAUGAUCUCGCGUCGUAUUAGCUAGUUGGGGAGGGAAAGGCUCUACAAGGCGGAGGAACAUAACCGACCCUAGAGGGUGGUCGGCCAACUUGGGACUGAGACAAGGCCCAAGAUCCUUCGGGAGGCAGCAGUAGGGAAGCCUCCGCAAAGGACGAAAGGCUGAACGAGCAACGCCGGCGGAGGGAAGGAGGGUGUCGGAUCGUAAAACUCUGUUGGUAGAGAAGAAAGAUGGUGAGAGGGGAAAGCUCACGAAGUGACGGUAACUAACCAGAAAGCGACGGCUAACUACGUG